GGCUGGGGUUCCGGUCGAACACGCGCACGCGUGGGGACGCGCAGGGGCGCGCCGGGCAGGGCUAGCUGGCGUACGGAGGACGGCGCAUGCGUAAGGGAAAAGUGCUGGCUCUCCUACCUCCCACCGAACUCAAAAACUAGUUUGAGAUGGAUUGUGGACGUACUCGUGAAAGGCAGGUAUAGGAACGCUCACAGCUGCUUUACUCGUCAUAAUCGCAAACUGGAGAUAACCCAAACAUUCAUCUACAGCAGAAUGAGUGUAACUUGGGAGCCUUUCCUCCUCCUCCGGGAUUUGGACAGUCACUCCUGGGCAUGCAGUGCUGAGAUGAGGGGUGUCUGCAAGGCAAAGAACAGACGACCCGUGAUCUGGCCCCCGCACACCUCCUUCUGCAGUCAGCUUCCUGCUCUCACCUCUGCUGCUUUGGAAGCUCAGGAUGUCGAUUCCUCGCUAAGUCAUGAGUGGAGCAGACGAAAGCAGGGUUCGCUUGGAGGAGGUGAGAGGCUGGGACCAGAGUGCAGGGGACCCAGGGAGAGCCCGGACAGUUCAGAGCAGUGAGGCCUGGUCAGAGGAGGCGCUGGCCUCGCCCACGCCGCACCCCUUUCCCGCAGCUGUGCCCGCUGACCGGUGAAUGGGACUCCCCUCUGCAUCUGCUGAAGCCACUGUCCAGAGAGGCAGGGAGGGGCCCAGGGACAGGCUGGGCCCCUCGCCGCUUCUUCCCUCCCUGCCGCUGCUGUCCACCCCAAGGAUAGUCACCUAAU
Felis catus (domestic cat) is the source of this 758-nucleotide long non-coding RNA. RefSeq lists it as uncharacterized. The transcript has 4 exons. The record is from RefSeq and is a predicted model, not a curated record. Lineage: Eukaryota; Metazoa; Chordata; Mammalia; Carnivora; Felidae.